Molecule: ribosomal RNA, 492 nt
Filed under: uncultured bacterium
Lineage: Bacteria
Description: partial 16S ribosomal RNA
Rfam family: Bacterial small subunit ribosomal RNA
Source: RNAcentral
AGUGAACGCUGGCGGUAGGCCUAACACAUGCAAGUCGAACGGCAGCACAGUAAGAGCUUGCUCUUACGGGUGGCGAGUGGCGGACGGGUGAGGAAUACAUCGGAAUCUACUUUUUCGUGGGGGAUAACGUAGGGAAACUUACGCUAAUACCGCAUACGACCUACGGGUGAAAGCAGGGGAUCUUCGGACCUUGCGCGAUUGAAUGAGCCGAUGUCGGAUUAGCUAGUUGGCAGGGUAAAGGCCCACCAAGGCGACGAUCCGUAGCCGGUCUGAGAGGAUGAUCAGCCACACUGGAACUGAGACACGGUCCAGACUCCUACGGGAGGCAGCAGUGGGGAAUAUUGGACAAUGGGCGCAAGCCUGACCCAGCCAUACCGCGUGGGUGAAGAAGGCCUUCGGGUUGUAAAGCCCUUUUGUUGGGAAAGAAAAGCAGCAGGUUAAUACCCCGCUGUUCUGACGGUACCCAAAGAAUAAGCACCGGCUAACUUCGUG